This 253-nucleotide ribosomal RNA is filed under the name uncultured bacterium. RNAcentral describes it as "partial 16S ribosomal RNA". It matches the Rfam family "Bacterial small subunit ribosomal RNA", at positions 524 to 776 of the family's 1533-position model. The record is from RNAcentral.
UACGGAGGGUGCAAGCGUUGUCCGGAUUUAUUGGGAUUAAAGGGUGCGUAGGCGGCCUUUUAAGUCAGUGGUGAAAGCCCGCGGCUCAACCGCGGAACUGCCAUUGAUACUGGAAGGCUUGAGUACAGACGAGGUAGGCGGAAUUGAAGAUGUAGCUGUGAAAUGCUUAGAUAUCUUCAAGAACACCGAUUGCGUAGGCAGCUUACUAGGCUGUAACUGACGCUGAGGCACGAAAGCGUGGGGAGCGAACAGG